CUCAGAGGAGCUGCUGGAAGACACUCGGGCCCGGAUGACCUGAACAGGAGGGUACGAGGGGGGCUCUUGCAGUGACGCGUCUCCUGUGCUGGUCUGUCCAUCACCAGGUAGUCUCAUGGCACCACAGCUUGCCUGCAAGGGGUGGCUGCAUCCAACAUCUGAGGAACAACAAUAGCCAGGAGUAAAGCUUAUCGGUCAGGCCAAACUCACUCCCAGCACCAGUGUCCUCUGGGCAGCUGGGCAGGGACCACAUUGCUGAGCAUGCGCUCAAAACAUCCCUUUACCCAGGGGCCAUGACUCCCAGGUUACAGGCACUGGGAGCCAUCAAGACAGGAGACAAGGUUCGCAUCCCAGCAGGAGAUGGCCAGCUCACAAAGCCUUGGUGCAAGUCAAACCACCUCUUCCCAGGACUUAACACUGCCCUGGCUGACAGCCCUGCUUUAGGAGGCUGAGGUACUCUCUCCUGCUCACCAAACAAGGCCCAGUGAGGCUCUGAAAUGCACAACUGACCUGAGUCCAGCACUGAAGCCUCCCAGGUGGGGCUCCCACCACCCUCAGGGUGAUCGUUAGCCUCCUUGGGUGGGGAUCUGUACCUUUUUAUCUCCCUUAUUCUGGGAGGAUAAUAGAGUAGGGCAUCUCAAAUAUGCCUUGUUGGCAUAUGGAUUACUUUGAGUUAAACACAAAUGAAAACCAGCACAAGUGGAGAAGAUAUGCACCUAACUGCCUACAAGUAAAAAAGAGUUGUCCCUUGGUGUCGAUGGGGAAGUGGUUCAGGACCCCUCAGAUGCUCAACUCCUUUGGCUAAAUGGCGUGGUAUUUGCAUAUAACCGGUGCACCUCCUCCAUAUGCUCUACAUCACCUCUUAGAUACGCCUAAUAUCUAAUUUAAUGUAAAUGCCAUGGAAAUGGUUACUAUAGUAUGUUCUCUAGGAGACAAUGACAACUAAAAAAGACUACAUUUUCAGUACGGAAAUACAUUUUUUUUUUCAAAAAUCUUUGAUCCACAGUGAAUUGAUCAAGGAUGUAGAACCCAUGGAUAUAAAUGUUCCUUGUAAAGGAAAUUUAUUUUUACAAAGGAAACUUACAUUUGUUCCCUGGGACAAGAGCCACUUCCAGAGACAACUUCCACCACUAGAGACUUGUUGCAUUAACAAGACAACCCUUAAUCACCAUACACUUCCUCCUUCGUCUUUCCUAACUUGCUCCCCAACGCCAGAAGCCCCAAACCCCUUUUCCUGCCAUAAUUUUUUUUUCGUGAACUUCCGCAUACAAGUAAUUAAAGUGUGCUCCCUCUUACUCAUUUCUGUCUUUUGUUGGUUUGAUUCAUAAUCCUCAGCCAUUAUACCUAAGAGGGUAGAGAAAAGCCUUUUUCCUCCACUUUGCUCCCCUCCAGCUGUCCCACCUGCAGCCUUGGAGAGAUCCUUUUUCACAUGGUUCCUAUCAGCUAAAGUAUCACUUCCUCCAGGAAGCCUUCCAGGACUAAUUCCCACCCUUAUGGACACUUAGCCAUGGCCCAGGCUGGCCACUCACCUGCUG
This is a non-coding RNA of Ictidomys tridecemlineatus (thirteen-lined ground squirrel), 1535 nucleotides long. NCBI's taxonomy places the organism in Eukaryota, Metazoa, Chordata, Mammalia, Rodentia, Sciuridae. The record is from RefSeq and is a predicted model, not a curated record.